Molecule: long non-coding RNA, 270 nt
Filed under: Arabidopsis thaliana (thale cress)
Lineage: Eukaryota; Viridiplantae; Streptophyta; Magnoliopsida; Brassicales; Brassicaceae
Description: ncRNA (AT5G53048)
Source: RNAcentral
CUCGAGCAGAGCUUUAUUAACCUGAAAUUGAUUGACCAGAAGGUAUGUUAUUCGAGGUUCUGAGAAUACCAACAUGAGUAAGGAAAAUGUGAUCCCUCUUCCACAUUGUAGCAAUGUUGUUCCUUAAAGACUUCAAAGCCUGUUGGAUGAGAUUAAAGAGCGACAAAGACUUUAGUUAUUAAGUCUUACAUUCAUCAGACGCAAGAGAGACAGAGAAGUUAAGACCUAGCUAAAUAAGACAGAAGUACCUCUUCUGUUCUCUCGUGGCUU